This 427-nucleotide ribosomal RNA is filed under the name uncultured beta proteobacterium. RNAcentral's name for it is "bacterial SSU rRNA". It matches the Rfam family "Bacterial small subunit ribosomal RNA", at positions 355 to 774 of the family's 1533-position model. Lineage: Bacteria; Pseudomonadati; Pseudomonadota; Betaproteobacteria. The record is from RNAcentral.
UGGGGAAUUUUGGACAAUGGGCGAAAGCCUGAUCCAGCCAUGCCGCGUGAGUGAAGAAGGCCUUCGGGUUGUAAAGCUCUUUUAGUCGGAAAGAAAAGAUCAUAAUGAACAAUUAUGAUUCAUGACGGUACCGACAGAAAAAGCACCGGCUAACUACGUGCCAGCAGCCGCGGUAAUACGUAGGGUGCGAGCGUUAAUCGGAAUUACUGGGCGUAAAGGGUGCGCAGGCGGUCUUGCAAGUCAGAUGUGAAAGCCCCGGGCUUAACCUGGGAAUUGCGUUUGAAACUACAAGACUAGAGUGCAGCAGAGGGGAGUGGAAUUCCAUGUGUAGCAGUGAAAUGCGUAGAGAUGUGGAAGAACACCGAUGGCGAAGGCAGCUCCCUGGGUUGACACUGACGCUCAUGCACGAAAGCGUGGGGAGCAAACA